Molecule: ribosomal RNA, 305 nt
Filed under: uncultured bacterium
Lineage: Bacteria
Description: bacterial SSU rRNA
Rfam family: Bacterial small subunit ribosomal RNA
Source: RNAcentral
GGGUACCUACGGGACGCAGCAGUGAGGAAUAUUGGUCAAUGGUCGGGAGACUGAACCAGCCAAGCCGCGUGAGGGAGGAAGGUACAGAGUAUCGUAAACCUCUUUUGUCAGGGAACAAAGACUGGGACGCGUCCCCGGAUGAGUGUACCUGAAGAAAAAGCAUCGGCUAACUCCGUGCCAGCAGCCGCGGUAAUACGGAGGAUGCGAGCGUUAUCCGGAUUUAUUGGGUUUAAAGGGUGCGCAGGCGGUCUGUUAAGUCAGCGGUCAAAGCCCGGGGCUCAACCCCGGCCCGCCGUUGAAACUGG